RNAcentral lists this ribosomal RNA (445 nucleotides) under uncultured bacterium. RNAcentral's name for it is "partial 16S ribosomal RNA". It matches the Rfam family "Bacterial small subunit ribosomal RNA", at positions 354 to 796 of the family's 1533-position model. The record is from RNAcentral.
GUGAGGAAUAUUGGUCAAUGGGCGAGAGCCUGAACCAGCCAAGUCGCGUGAAGGAAGAAGGAUCUAUGGUUCGUAAACUUCUUUUGCAGGGGAAUAAAGUGCAGGACGUGUCCUGUUUUGUAUGUACCCUGAGAAUAAGGAUCGGCUAACUCCGUGCCAGCAGCCGCGGUAAUACGGAGGAUCCGAGCGUUAUCCGGAUUUCUUGGGUUUAAAGGGUGCGGAGGAGGUUUGAUAAGUCAGCGGUGAAAGUUUGCAGCUUAACUGUAAAAAUGGCGUUGAAGCUGUCGGACUUGAGUGUAAAUGAGGUAGGCGGAAUGCGUGGUGUAGCGGUGAAAUGCAUAGAUAUCACGCAGAACUCCGAUUGCGAAGGCAGCUUACUAAGCUACAACUGACACUGAAGCACGAAAGCGUGGGGAUCAAACAGGAUUAGAAACCCGUGUAGUCC